GAUGAACGCUAGCUACAGGCUUAACACAUGCAAGUCGAGGGGAAACGGCAUUAAGUGCUUGCACUUUUUGGACGUCGACCGGCGCACGGGUGAGUAACGCGUAUCCCACCUUCCCAUGACUAAGGGAUAACCUGCCGAAAGGCAGACUAAUACCUUAUGGUCUUCACUGACGGCAUCAGAUGUGAAGUCAAGAUUUAUCGGUUAUGGCUGGGGAUGCGUCUGAUUAGCUGGUUGGCGGGGUAACGGCCCACCAAGGCAACGAUCAGUAGGGGUUCUGAGAGGAAGGUCCCCCACAUUGGAACUGAGACCCGGUCCAAACUCGUACGGGGGGCAGCAGUGAGGAAUAUUAGUCAAUGGGCGAGAGCCUGAACCAGCCAAGUAGCGGGCAGGAGGACUGCCCUAUGGGUUGUAAACUGCUUUUGUAUGGGGGUAAAGUCAAUCACGUGUGAUUGUUUGCAGGUACCAUACGAAUAAGGACCGGCUAAUUCCGUG
RNAcentral lists this ribosomal RNA (492 nucleotides) under uncultured bacterium. RNAcentral describes it as "partial 16S ribosomal RNA". It matches the Rfam family "Bacterial small subunit ribosomal RNA", at positions 28 to 507 of the family's 1533-position model. The record is from RNAcentral.